RNAcentral lists this ribosomal RNA (801 nucleotides) under uncultured bacterium. RNAcentral's name for it is "bacterial SSU rRNA". It matches the Rfam family "Bacterial small subunit ribosomal RNA", at positions 78 to 908 of the family's 1533-position model. The record is from RNAcentral.
GGGAGUUUUUAACUCAAGUGGCGGACGGGUGAGUAACACGUAAGAAUUUGCCUUUAGGAGGGGGAUAACAACUGGAAACGGUUGCUAAUACCCCAUAUGCUUUCGAGUGAAAUGGAUUUUUCCGCCUAAAGAGAAGCUUGCGGCUGAUUAGCUUGUUGGUGAGGUAAUGGCUCACCAAGGCGACGAUCAGUAUCUGGUUUGAGAGGAUGAUCAGACACACUGGAACUGAGACACGGUCCAGACUCCUACGGGAGGCAGCAGUGGGGAAUUUUCCGCAAUGGGCGAAAGCCUGACGGAGCAAUACCGCGUGAGGGAUGACGGCCUAUGGGUUGUAAACCUCUUUUUUCAGGGAGGAAUCAAUGACGUGUACCUGAAGAAUAAGCAUCGGCUAAUUCCGUGCCAGCAGCCGCGGUAAGACGGAGGAUGCAAGUGUUAUCCGGAAUCACUGGGCGUAAAGCGUCUGUAGGUGGUCCAAUAAGUCAACUGUUAAAUCUUGAGGCUUAACCUCAAAAUCGCAGUCGAAACUAUUAGACUAGAGUAUAGUAGGGGUAAAGGGAAUUUCCAGUGGAGCGGUGAAAUGCGUAGAGAUUGGAAGGAACACCGAUGGCGAAGGCACUUUACUGGGCUAUUACUAACACUCAGAGACGAAAGCUAGGGUAGCAAAUGGGAUUAGAUACCCCAGUAGUCCUAGCUGUAAACCAUGGAUACUAGAUGUUGAACAGAUCGACCUGUGCAGUAUCAAAGCUAACGCGUUAAGUAUCCCGCCUGGGAAGUAUGCUCGCAAGAGUGAAACUCAAAGGA